This 479-nucleotide ribosomal RNA is filed under the name uncultured bacterium. Its description in RNAcentral is "partial 16S ribosomal RNA". It matches the Rfam family "Bacterial small subunit ribosomal RNA", at positions 28 to 507 of the family's 1533-position model. The record is from RNAcentral.
GAUGAACGCUGGCGGCGUGCUUAACACAUGCAAGUCGAACGAAGCACUUAAGAUUGAUUCUUCGGAUGACGUCUUUUGUGACUUAGUGGCGGACGGGUGAGUAACGCGUGGGUAACCUGCCUCACACAGGGGGAUAACAGUUAGAAAUGACUGCUAAUACCGCAUAACCCGAUAGGAUCGAAUGAUCCAGACGGAAAAGAUUUAUCGGUGUGAGAGGGACCCGCGUCUGAUUAGCUAGUUGGUGAGGUAACGGCCCACCAAGGCGACGAUCAGUAGCCGGCCUGAGAGGGUGAACGGCCACAUUGGGACUGAGACACGGCCCAAACUCCUACGGGAGGCAGCAGUGGGGAAUAUUGCACAAUGGGGGAAACCCUGAUGCAGCGACGCCGCGUGAGUGAAGAAGUAUUUCGGUAUGUAAAGCUCUAUCAGCAGGGAAGAAAAUGACGGUACCUGACUAAGAAGCCCCGGCUAACUACGUG